AGGCAGCAGUGGGGAAUAUUGCGCAAUGGGCGGAAGCCUGACGCAGCGACGCCGCGUGAGGGAUGACGGCCUUCGGGUUGUAAACCUCUUUCAGCUCUGACGAAGCGAGAGUGACGGUAGGAGCAGAAGAAGCACUGGCCAACUACGUGCCAGCAGCCGCGGUAAUACGUAGGGUGCAAGCGUUGUCCGGAAUUAUUGGGCGUAAAGAGCUCGUAGGCGGUCUGUCGCGUCGAAUGUGAAAACCCGGGGCUCAACCCCGGGCCUGCACUCGAUACGGGCAGACUAGAGUUCGGUAGGGGAGUCUGGAAUUCCUGGUGUAGCGGUGAAAUGCGCAGAUAUCAGGAGGAACACCGGUGGCGAAGGCGGGACUCUGGGCCGAUACUGACGCUGAGGAGCGAAAGCGUGGGGAGCAAACAGGAUUAGAUACCCUGGUAG
Molecule: ribosomal RNA, 435 nt
Filed under: uncultured bacterium
Lineage: Bacteria
Description: bacterial SSU rRNA
Rfam family: Bacterial small subunit ribosomal RNA
Source: RNAcentral